This 253-nucleotide ribosomal RNA is filed under the name uncultured bacterium. RNAcentral's name for it is "partial 16S ribosomal RNA". It matches the Rfam family "Bacterial small subunit ribosomal RNA", at positions 524 to 776 of the family's 1533-position model. The record is from RNAcentral.
UACGUAGGGGGCAAGCGUUAUCCGGAUUUACUGGGUGUAAAGGGGGCGCAGACGGCGAUGCAAGCCAGGAGUGAAAGCCCGGGGCCCAACCCCGGGACUGCUCUUGGAACUGCGCGGCUGGAGUGCAGGAGGGGCAGGCGGAAUUCCUGGUGUAGCGGUGAAAUGCGUAGAUAUCAGGAGGAACACCGGUGGCGAAGGCGGCCUGCUGGACUGCGACUGACGUUGAGGCCCGAAAGCGUGGGGAGCAAACAGG